This 63-nucleotide transfer RNA is filed under the name Scutopus robustus. RNAcentral describes it as "tRNA-Glu". Lineage: Eukaryota; Metazoa; Mollusca; Caudofoveata; Limifossorida; Scutopodidae. The record is from RNAcentral.
UAUUUAGUAGUGUAUUUAUCACAAGAAUUUUUCAAAUUCUAAAAUCGGCCUCCGACUAAAAUU